This 440-nucleotide ribosomal RNA is filed under the name uncultured bacterium. RNAcentral describes it as "partial 16S ribosomal RNA". It matches the Rfam family "Bacterial small subunit ribosomal RNA", at positions 338 to 795 of the family's 1533-position model. The record is from RNAcentral.
CCUACGGGUGGCAGCAGUAGGGAAUAUUGCUCAAUGGGGGAAACCCUGAAGCAGCAACGCCGCGUGGGGGAUGACGGUUUUAGGAUUGUAAACUCCCUUUGUUAGAGGAGAAAAUGACGGUAUCUAACGAAUAAGCACCGGCUAACUCCGUGCCAGCUGCCGCGGCAACACGGAGGGUGCAAGCGUUAUUCGGAACCACCGGGCGUAAAGGGUGCGUAGGCGGGGUAAUAAGUCAGAUGUGAAAUCCUGUAGCUUAACUCCAGAACUGCAUUUGAAACUGUUACUCUGGAGUGUGGGAGAGGUAGGUGGAAUUCGUGGUGUAGCGGUGAAAUCCGUAGAGAUCAAGAAGAAUACUCAUUGCGAAGGCGACCUACUGGCCCGUAACUGACGUUGAGGCUCGAAAGCGUGGGGAGCAAACAGGAUUAGAUACCCGAGUAGUC